CAGGUUUACCUGUGUGACUGCGUACCUUUUGUAUAAUGGGUCAGCGACUUAUAUUCUGUAGCAAGGUUAACCGUAUAGGGGAGCCGCAGGGAAACCGAGUCUUAAUUGGGCGUUAAGUUGCAGGGUAUAGACCCGAAACCCGGUGAUCUAGCCAUGGGCAGGUUGAAGGUUGGGUAACACUAACUGGAGGACCGAACCGACUAAUGUUGAAAAAUUAGCGGAUGACCUGUGGCUGGGGGUGAAAGGCCAAUCAAACCGGGAGAUAGCUGGUUCUCCCCGAAAGCUAUUUAGGUAGCGCCUCGUGAAUUCAUCUCCGGGGGUAGAGCACUGUUUCGGCUAGGGGGCCAUCCCGGCUUACCAACCCGAUGCAAACUGCGAAUACCGGAGAAUGUUAUCACGGGAGACACACGGCGGGUGCUAACGUCCGUCGUGAAGAGGGAAACAACCCAGACCGCCAGCUAAGGUCCCAAAGUCAUGGUUAAGUGGGAAACGAUGUGGGAAGGCCCAGACAGCCAGGAUGUUGGCUUAGAAGCAGCCAUCAUUUAAAGAAAGCGUAAUAGCUCACUGGUCGAGUCGGCCUGCGCGGAAGAUGUAACGGGGCUAAACCAUGCACCGAAGCUGCGGCAGCGACGCUUAUGCGUUGCUG
This 646-nucleotide ribosomal RNA is filed under the name Salmonella enterica subsp. enterica serovar Mississippi. RNAcentral describes it as "partial 23S ribosomal RNA". It matches the Rfam family "Bacterial large subunit ribosomal RNA", at positions 580 to 1226 of the family's 2925-position model. Lineage: Bacteria; Pseudomonadati; Pseudomonadota; Gammaproteobacteria; Enterobacterales; Enterobacteriaceae. The record is from RNAcentral.